This 495-nucleotide ribosomal RNA is filed under the name uncultured bacterium. RNAcentral's name for it is "partial 16S ribosomal RNA". It matches the Rfam family "Bacterial small subunit ribosomal RNA", at positions 28 to 507 of the family's 1533-position model. The record is from RNAcentral.
GACGAACGCUGGCGGCGUGCCUAAUACAUGCAAGUAGAACGCUGAAGGAGGAGCUUGCUUCUCUGGAUGAGUUGCGAACGGGUGAGUAACGCGUAGGUAACCUGCCUGGUAGCGGGGGAUAACUAUUGGAAACGAUAGCUAAUACCGCAUAAUAGUAGAUGUUGCAUGACAUUUGCUUAAAAGGUGCAAUUGCAUCACUACCAGAUGGACCUGCGUUGUAUUAGCUAGUUGGUGGGGUAACGGCUCACCAAGGCGACGAUACAUAGCCGACCUGAGAGGGGGAUCGGCCACACUGGGACUGAGACACGGCCCAGACUCCUACGGGAGGCAGCAGUGGGGAAUCUUCGGCAAUGGACGGAAGUCUGACCGAGCAACGCCGCGUGAGUGAAGAAGGUUUUCGGAUCGUAAAGCUCUGUUGUAAGAGAAGAACGAGUGUGAGAGUGGAAAGUUCACACUGUGACGGUAUCUUACCAGAAAGGGACGGCUAACUACGUG